CCUACGGGUGGCAGCAGUGAGGAAUAUUGGUCAAUGGCCGCGAGGCUGAACCAGCCAAGUAGCGUGAAGGACGACUGCCCUACGGGUUGUAAACUUCUUUUAUCAAGGGAUAAAAUCAGGCUCGAGUGCCUUCUCGUAUGUACUUUAUGAAUAAGCAUCGGCUAACUCCGUGCCAGCAGCCGCGGUAAUACGGAGGAUCCGAGCGUUAUCCGGAUUUAUUGGGUUUAAAGGGAGCGUAGGUGGGUUGUUAAGUCAGUUGGGAAAGUUUGCGGCUCAACCCGAAAAGAGCAUUUGAUACUGGCAGUCUUGAGGAGAGUAGAGGUAGGCGGAAUGCGUAGUGUAGCGGUGAAAUGCUUAGAUAUCGCGAAGAACUCCGAUUGCGAAGGCAGCUUACUGGACGGCAACUGACACUGAGGCACGAAAGUGUGGGUAUCGAACAGGAUUAGAUACCCUUGUAGUC
This 460-nucleotide ribosomal RNA is filed under the name uncultured bacterium. RNAcentral's name for it is "partial 16S ribosomal RNA". It matches the Rfam family "Bacterial small subunit ribosomal RNA", at positions 338 to 795 of the family's 1533-position model. The record is from RNAcentral.